GGGCCCGUAGCUCAGUUGGUUAGAGCUGGCGACUCAUAAUCGCUCGGUCGCAGGUUCAAGUCCUGCCGGGCCCA
Molecule: transfer RNA, 74 nt
Filed under: Actinomycetes bacterium
Lineage: Bacteria; Bacillati; Actinomycetota; Actinomycetes
Also listed under: 3 other names
Description: tRNA-Ile
Rfam family: tRNA
About the family: Transfer RNA (tRNA) molecules are approximately 80 nucleotides in length. Their secondary structure includes four short double-helical elements and three loops (D, anti-codon, and T loops).
Source: RNAcentral